AUGUCCACACCAAAAGAAACUCGGAAUUCCAUUCUGCAGCUGAAUCAAACAGAGAAUGGAGAAACUGAAGCUCAGCUACAUGAAGCCCUCGAGACAAUAACACAGAAAGGAGCUGGAGUCAAAAACAUGAGAAAGAAGCUGGAUACUCUCGAGAUUGAGUUGGGAUAUUAUGAGGAGCAGGCAACCGAAGCUGCUGCCAAUGAAGAAAAACAUAAGGUUAAAUUUGAUGAAGUUGUACACAAACUAAAGAGCCUAGAAGCACAACUUGCAGAAACACAAAACAAGGUUGAUCUUUUCCAGAACAGAGAAAGAAAACUUGAUUACUGCUAA
Molecule: ribosomal RNA, 330 nt
Filed under: Triticum aestivum (bread wheat)
Lineage: Eukaryota; Viridiplantae; Streptophyta; Magnoliopsida; Poales; Poaceae
Description: partial small subunit ribosomal RNA
Source: RNAcentral